Molecule: ribosomal RNA, 759 nt
Filed under: Clostridioides difficile
Lineage: Bacteria; Bacillati; Bacillota; Clostridia; Peptostreptococcales; Peptostreptococcaceae
Description: partial 23S ribosomal RNA
Rfam family: Bacterial large subunit ribosomal RNA
Source: RNAcentral
UUAUUAAGGGUGCAGGGCGGAUGCCUUGGCACUAGGAGCCGAUGAAGGACGUGAUAAGCUGCGAUAAGCUUCGGGGAGUUGCACGUAAACUUUGAUCCGAAGAUUUCCGAAUGAGGAAACUCACUUAGAGUAAUGUCUAAGUAUCAUUAAGUGAAUACAUAGCUUAAUGAGGGGAACUCAGGGAACUGAAACAUCUAAGUACCUGAAGGAAGAGAAAGAAAUUCGAUUCCGUAAGUAGCGGCGAGCGAACGCGGAUUAGCCCAAACCAAUAAAGUUUUCUUUAUUGGGGUUGCGGACAUAUCAUAACGAAGAGGUAUCGUAAUUGAAGAGGUUUGGAAAGACUCACCACAGAAGGUAAUAGUCCUGUAUGUUAAACGAGAAGACUUCAGAUAUGAUCCAGAGUACCACGGGACACGUGAAACCCUGUGGGAAGCAGGAGGGACCACCCUCCAAGGCUAAAUACUACCUAGUGACCGAUAGCGUAUAGUACCGUGAGGGAAAGGUGAAAAGAACCCCGGGAGGGGAGUGAAAUAGAACCUGAAACCCUGCACUUACAAGCUGUGGAAGCACAUUUCUUGUGUGACCGCGUACUUUUUGUAGAACGGGCCAACGAGUUACGUUAAGUAGCAAGGUUAAGCACUUAAGGUGCGGAGCCGUAGCGAAAGCGAGUUUUAACUGAGCGUUCAGUUACUUGACGUAGACCCGAAACCGGGCGACCUACCCAUGAGCAGGAUGAAGCGAAAGUAAAAUUUCGUGGAG